Molecule: ribosomal RNA, 778 nt
Filed under: uncultured bacterium
Lineage: Bacteria
Description: bacterial SSU rRNA
Rfam family: Bacterial small subunit ribosomal RNA
Source: RNAcentral
UCGAACGGGGUGAGGGGGCAACUCCUCAUUCAGUGGCGAACGGGUGAGUAAUGCAUCGGAACGUAUCCCGUAGUGGGGGAUAACGCCGCGAAAGCGGCGCUAAUACCGCAUACGCUCUACGGAGGAAAGCAGGGGACCUGAGAGGGCCUUGUGCUAGGGGGGCGGCCGAUGUCCGAUUAGCUAGUUGGUGGGGUAAUGGCCUACCAAGGCUUCGAUCGGUAGCUGGUCUGAGAGGAUGAUCAGCCACACUGGGACUGAGACACGGCCCAGACUCCUACGGGAGGCAGCAGUGGGGAAUUUUGGACAAUGGGGGCAACCCUGAUCCAGCCAUGCCGCGUGCGGGAAGAAGGCCUUCGGGUUGUAAACCGCUUUUAGCCGGGAAGAAAAGGCGCGGGUUAAUACCCUGUGUUUUUGACGGUACCGGCGGAAUAAGCACCGGCUAACUACGUGCCAGCAGCCGCGGUAAUACGUAGGGUGCGAGCGUUAAUCGGAAUUACUGGGCGUAAAGCGUGCGCAGGCGGUUCGUUGUGUCGGCGGUGAAAGCCCCGGGCUUAACCUGGGAAUGGCCGUUGAAACUGGCGAACUGGAGUGUGGCAGAGGGGGGUGGAAUUCCGCGUGUAGCAGUGAAAUGCGUAGAGAUGCGGAGGAACACCGAUGGCGAAGGCAGCCCCCUGGGCUAACACUGACGCUCAGGCACGAAAGCGUGGGGAGCAACCAGGAUUAGAUACCCUGGUAGUCCACGCCCUAAACGAUGUCGACUGGGUGUUGGGGAAGCGAU